This 250-nucleotide ribosomal RNA is filed under the name uncultured bacterium. Its description in RNAcentral is "partial 16S ribosomal RNA". It matches the Rfam family "Bacterial small subunit ribosomal RNA", at positions 524 to 772 of the family's 1533-position model. The record is from RNAcentral.
CACGUAGGGGCCAAGCGUUGUCCGGAUUUAUUGGGCGUAAAGAGCUCGUAGGCUGUUCGGUAAGUCGGGUGUGAAAACUCUGGGCUCAACCCAGAGACGCCAUCCGAUACUGCUGUGACUAGAGUCCGGUAGGGGAGUGUGGAAUUUCCGGUGUAGCGGUGAAAUGCGCAGAUAUCGGAAGGAACACCAGUGGCGAAGGCGGCACUCUGGGCCGGAACUGACGCUGAGGAGCGAAAGCGUGGGUAGCAAA